This 89-nucleotide transfer RNA is filed under the name Bacillota bacterium. Its description in RNAcentral is "Firmicutes bacterium (anaerobic digester metagenome) tRNA-Leu". It matches the Rfam family "tRNA". Rfam says of the family: Transfer RNA (tRNA) molecules are approximately 80 nucleotides in length. Lineage: Bacteria; Bacillati; Bacillota. The record is from RNAcentral.
GCGGGCGUGGCGGAACUGGCAGACGCGCUGGACUUAGGAUCCAGUGGGAUGAUUUUCCCUUGGAGGUUCAAAUCCUCUCGCCCGCACCA